RNAcentral lists this ribosomal RNA (253 nucleotides) under uncultured bacterium. RNAcentral describes it as "partial 16S ribosomal RNA". It matches the Rfam family "Bacterial small subunit ribosomal RNA", at positions 524 to 776 of the family's 1533-position model. The record is from RNAcentral.
CACGUAGGGCGCAAGCGUUGUCCGGAAUUAUUGGGCGUAAAGAGCUCGUAGGCGGUCUGUUGCGUCCGCUGUGAAAACUCGGGGCUUAACCCCGAGCCUGCAGUGGAUACGGGCAGACUAGAGGUAGGUAGGGGAGAAUGGAAUUCCCGGUGUAGCGGUGAAAUGCGUAGAGAUCGGGAGGAACACCAGUGGCGAAGGCGACUAUCUGGGCUGAAACUGACGCUGAGGCGCGAAGGCUAGGGGAGCAAACAGG